RNAcentral lists this transfer RNA (73 nucleotides) under Candidatus Pacearchaeota archaeon. RNAcentral's name for it is "tRNA-Thr". It matches the Rfam family "tRNA". Rfam says of the family: Transfer RNA (tRNA) molecules are approximately 80 nucleotides in length. Their secondary structure includes four short double-helical elements and three loops (D, anti-codon, and T loops). The record is from RNAcentral. Lineage: Archaea; Nanobdellati.
GCCUGCAUAGCUCAGUUGGUAGAGUACCACACUCGUAAUGUGGGGGUCGAGGGUUCAAUCCCCUCUGCAGGCU